UACGAAGGGGGCUAGCGUUGUUCGGAAUUACUGGGCGUAAAGCGCACGUAGGCGGAUUAGUAAGUCAGGGGUGAAAUCCCGGGGCUCAACCUCGGAACUGCCUUUGAUACUGCUGAUCUCGAGUCCGGAAGAGGUUAGUGGAAUUCCUGGUGUAGAGGUGAAAUUCGUAGAUAUUAGGAAGAACACCAGUGGCGAAGGCGGCUCACUGGUCCGGUACUGACGCUGAGGUGCGAAAGCGUGGGGAGCGAACAGG
This 253-nucleotide ribosomal RNA is filed under the name uncultured bacterium. RNAcentral describes it as "partial 16S ribosomal RNA". It matches the Rfam family "Bacterial small subunit ribosomal RNA", at positions 524 to 776 of the family's 1533-position model. The record is from RNAcentral.